CAGUCGCCACGGGAAUACGAAGGGUGCAAGCGUUAAUCGGAAUUACAGGGCGUAAAGCGUGCGUAGGCGGUGAGUUAAGUCUGCUGUGAAAUCCCCGAGCUUAACUUGGGAACUGCAUUUGAAACUGGCAAGCUAGAGUCUUGUAGAGGGGGGUAGAAUUCCAGGUGUAGCGGUGAAAUGCGUAGAGAUCUGGAGGAAUACCGGUGGCGAAGGCGACUAUCUGGGCCAACACUGACACUGAGACACGAAAGCGUGGGGAGCAAACAGGAUUAGAUACCCCUGUAGUCCCUGUCUCUAUACA
RNAcentral lists this ribosomal RNA (301 nucleotides) under uncultured bacterium. RNAcentral describes it as "partial 16S ribosomal RNA". It matches the Rfam family "Bacterial small subunit ribosomal RNA", at positions 509 to 808 of the family's 1533-position model. The record is from RNAcentral.